RNAcentral lists this transfer RNA (76 nucleotides) under Vibrio alginolyticus. Its description in RNAcentral is "tRNA-Gly". It matches the Rfam family "tRNA". From Rfam's summary of the family: Transfer RNA (tRNA) molecules are approximately 80 nucleotides in length. Their secondary structure includes four short double-helical elements and three loops (D, anti-codon, and T loops). Lineage: Bacteria; Pseudomonadati; Pseudomonadota; Gammaproteobacteria; Vibrionales; Vibrionaceae. The record is from RNAcentral. RNAcentral also lists the same sequence under 3 other names.
GCGACACUAGCUCAGUUGGUAGAGCGCAACCUUGCCAAGGUUGAGGUCAUGAGUUCGAACCUCGUGUGUCGCUCCA